RNAcentral lists this long non-coding RNA (339 nucleotides) under Citrus maxima (pomelo). Its description in RNAcentral is "long non-coding RNA (CMAX_LNC001573)". The record is from RNAcentral. Lineage: Eukaryota; Viridiplantae; Streptophyta; Magnoliopsida; Sapindales; Rutaceae.
GUGCUCCCUGAGGAUUGCUUCUGUAAUGAAUCCCGUACUGUAUUGCCACCCUUCUUUAAUUGAUUUCUCUACCACGUACCAAACCUUAACUCUAUCGUGCUUCUUGGCCCAAUCAUCAAGCUCUUCUCUCAGCAAAAUAUCAUCUUCGGUUCUGUUCGCAUACACCACGUACAUCUCUGUUUCAUCUUCAGGAUCCUUCAGAAUGGCUUGCAUGAUUUGAUAAAUAGGGGUGAUUCCUGUGCCGCCAGCUAACAUAGCCAGCUUCUUAGCAAACUUUGGCUUUCCGUGAACCAAAAAGUUGCCACGGCCAGUGUAUUGAAUGUGACCCAAUGGACCCUU